RNAcentral lists this ribosomal RNA (485 nucleotides) under uncultured bacterium. RNAcentral describes it as "partial 16S ribosomal RNA". It matches the Rfam family "Bacterial small subunit ribosomal RNA", at positions 30 to 506 of the family's 1533-position model. The record is from RNAcentral.
AUUGAACGCUGGCGACAUGCCUUACACAUGCAAGUCGAACGGCAGCACGGGUGCUUGCACCUGGUGGCGAGUGGCGAACGGGUGAGUAAUACAUCGGAACAUGUCCUGUAGUGGGGGAUAGCCCGGCGAAAGCCGGAUUAAUACCGCAUACGAUCUACGGAUGAAAGCGGGGGACCUUCGGGCCUCGCGCUAUAGGGUUGGCCGAUGGCUGAUUAGCUAGUUGGUGGGGUAAAGGCCUACCAAGGCGACGAUCAGUAGCUGGUCUGAGAGGACGACCAGCCACACUGGGACUGAGACACGGCCCAGACUCCUACGGGAGGCAGCAGUGGGGAAUUUUGGACAAUGGGCGAAAGCCUGAUCCAGCAAUGCCGCGUGUGUGAAGAAGGCCUUCGGGUUGUAAAGCACUUUUGUCCGGAAAGAAAUCCUUGGCCCUAAUACGGUCGGGGGAUGACGGGACCGGAAGAAUAAGCACCGGCUAACUACGU